Molecule: ribosomal RNA, 257 nt
Filed under: uncultured bacterium
Lineage: Bacteria
Description: partial 16S ribosomal RNA
Rfam family: Bacterial small subunit ribosomal RNA
Source: RNAcentral
UACGAAGGGGGCUAGCGUUGUUCGGAAUUACUGGGCGUAAAGCGCGCGCAGGCGGCUAUCCAAGUCAGUGGUGAAAGCCCGGAGCUCAACUCCGGAACUGCCAUUGAAACUGUUUAGCUUGAGGACGAGAGAGGUGAGUGGAAUUCCCAGUGUAGAGGUGAAAUUCGUAGAUAUUGGGGAGGAACACCAGAGGCGAAGGCGGCCACCUGGACAGACACUGACGCUGAGACGCGAAAAGCGUGGGGGGGAGCAAACAG